GUUGAAUCACCAAUUACCAUUUGAUCGUCAAAGUUAAGCAACACCGAGCCUAGUCAGUACCUAGAUGGGUGACCGCUUGGGAAUAUCAAGCAUUGUU
Molecule: non-coding RNA, 97 nt
Organism: Acanthosepion pharaonis
Lineage: Eukaryota; Metazoa; Mollusca; Cephalopoda; Sepiida; Sepiidae
Source: the annotation of a GenBank genome assembly